RNAcentral lists this signal recognition particle RNA (96 nucleotides) under Cytophagia bacterium. RNAcentral describes it as "signal recognition particle sRNA small type". It matches the Rfam family "Bacteroidales small SRP", at positions 11 to 100 of the family's 107-position model. Rfam says of the family: The non-coding component of the signal recognition particle in Bacteroides Lineage: Bacteria; Pseudomonadati; Bacteroidota; Cytophagia. The record is from RNAcentral.
CCGCAAGCCGGCACGACCAGCUCCUGCUGAACUCCCCCAGGACCGGAAGGUAGCAAGGGUAGGCGGUUGUAGCGGUGCGAUGUUGGCUUGUAUUUU